UACGUAGGGCGCAAGCGUUAUCCGGAAUUAUUGGGCGUAAAGAGCUCGUAGGCGGUUUGUCGCGUCUGCCGUGAAAGUCCGGGGCUCAACUCCGGAUCUGCGGUGGGUACGGGCAGACUAGAGUGAUGUAGGGGAGACUGGAAUUCCUGGUGUAGCAGUGAAAUGCGUAGAUAUCGAGAGGAACACCAGUGGCGAAGGCGAGUCUCUGGACAUUUCCUGACGCUGAGGCACGAAAGCCAGGGGAGCAAACGGG
This 253-nucleotide ribosomal RNA is filed under the name uncultured bacterium. Its description in RNAcentral is "partial 16S ribosomal RNA". It matches the Rfam family "Bacterial small subunit ribosomal RNA", at positions 524 to 776 of the family's 1533-position model. The record is from RNAcentral.